AGAUGGAAAUGCGGAAAUCACCGUCUUCUGUGUCGCUCAGGCUGGGAGCUGUAGACCGGAGCUGUUCCUAUUCGGCCAUCUUGGCUCCUCUCCCUCUUUAAAGUGAUUGCUCACUGAUGCCUUAUCUAGUUCUCUUGGUGAGGUCAUGUUUUCCUGGAUGGUCUUGGUGUUUGUGGAUGUUCAUCAAUGUCAGGGCAUUGAGAAGUUAGAAUGUGAUUUUGAAGAAAGGAGGAAAGAUGUGAAAAGUGAUUGGUCAGCCACAUUCAUGGUGUUGAGAAAAGAAUUUGCUUUUCUGGAACAUAGCCUGUGAUAGCAGAACAACACCUGGCAAGAAACAGGUUAUGUUUGGCUGGAGAGUCAUUGGCACUAUCAAGAAAUAUUAAAGUGUAGAUUUGAGAGAGGAGGAGAAAGACCCAAGCAAAAUUGAAAACCAGGUGGGACCCAGACAGCAGCAAAGCAAUGGAAGCAUGUAUUUUGGUCAAUAUAGAGUUAAUACACAAUUUUGCCCCUCUUCUUCUGAUCAUGGGACUCAUAUUACCAGUCUUCACAUUUCCUUUAAAUUCAGGAAUCAGGAAGAAUUUCCAGAGUUUGCAGAUGGACACAUUUGCUGCUUCCAUUCUAAACAUAAGUUAGAAGAACCUUUCAACUGGAUUCCAACUUUAAUAUGUCACAAACAUAAAAAAGAAAGCUAUUUCCUGGACUUUUCUUCAUUAGAAAUUAAUAGAUUGUCAAUUGGCAUAGGGAAAAGAUAAUCAACAGAUGCCAACCCCAAGUUAACAGAAAUGCUAAAAUUAUAAGACAAAGACUUCAAAAUAGCUAUUUUAAUUUUGCCUAGUGAGGUAAAUGCAAACAUGCUCACUAUGAAUGAAAACAGGUAAUCUCAGCAGUCAUGUAAACUAUAAAAAUAAGCAAAUAUAAAUUUUAGAAUUAAAACACAAUAUCUAAAAAUAAAUUCACCUGAUAUUCUCAAUAGAAAAAAUGGUAAUGCAGAGAAAAAUGUAUGAAAAUAUGGCAAUUUGAAGAAGAGAGAAGAGAUCAAUAAAAUAAAUAAGUAUAUCCUUGGAGACCUGUGGAUGUUUUUUGAAAAGUGAAUCAUGUAAGUAAUUGAAGUCCCAGAAGAAAAGAAAAGAAGAGGAUGAGCAGAAAAAAAUUUCUGAAAAAAUAUCUGAAAGCUUAAACACUAUAAUGAAAGACACACAUUUACAAACUCAAGAAGUUUAGUAAACCAAAAACAAUAAAAUCAAAGAGAACUGUGCCAAGCGACAUCAUUUUCAACCUGCUGAAGAUCUUGACAGCAGUCAGAGAAAAAAGACACACUUAUUACACAGAGAGGAACAAUACAUUAAAUACUAGCACACUUCUCAUCAGAGAUCAUUAAGCCCAGAAGACAGUGGAAUGAGAUCUUUAAAGUGCUGAAAUAAAAUAAAUGUUGAUUAAAAAAUUCUAUAGCUAA
This 1453-nucleotide long non-coding RNA is filed under the name Homo sapiens (human). RNAcentral describes it as "cancer susceptibility 9". Lineage: Eukaryota; Metazoa; Chordata; Mammalia; Primates; Hominidae. The record is from RNAcentral.